GAGAGGAGCUGAGGCGCGAGGUCGCUUAUCUGGUGGACAGAACUAUUUAAUCAUCAUGUCCUGAAGAAAGAAAACAUUCUUCCAUUACCACACUCAGAGUGACAAGGAGGACCAGAGGACUGGCUGUCAGCUAAAGCCUGAACUGAGAGAGGGGUGAUUUUCAAAGUUUUAACUUCACCAAGCCUAUUUGAACAAGAGC
Non-coding RNA from Kogia breviceps (pygmy sperm whale), 199 nucleotides. The record is from RefSeq and is a predicted model, not a curated record. NCBI's taxonomy places the organism in Eukaryota, Metazoa, Chordata, Mammalia, Artiodactyla, Physeteridae.